AACACUUCUCUCUCCCUUAUCUCUUUUGUACGUAUUAUGCAGCCGGUAUUUCAUCUUCUCCUUCUUCCUGGCCCUUUGUGGCGCCAACGCACGGAGGCGAUAAUCAACGUAGCAAAAGGCGGCGACGUGGAGGUUCGGAGCGAAAGCCAGCUCGGAAGAGGUUAGUGUGAAUCUCACCAUCUACUUUUAGGUUUUUUUCCGAAUCUUUGUUUGGAUUUUUUGAAUCUGCAAAUUGAUUUUGUGGAAAAGAAAGUACUUUCUAAAUCUGUUAAUUUCUUAUUUCGCACAGUACGUACAAAACUUGUUGAUUACUUUUUUUUCCGUGAAUCUGUGAAUUGCGUCUUUUGCACAGAGCAUACAUAACUUGUGAUUUCAUGUAGGAAAAUAUAAGAACUUUCUGAAUCUGUGAAAAUAAGAUUCAUAAUAACUCUAUUGAAAGAACAUUCUAUUCAUUGGGGCAUUUUUAAUAUUCAACAAUUGAGAACUUAGAUGCAACUCAUUAGGUUCAUAAACUCAUAUACAAUUCAUCAUAAACUCAGGAACAACUCAUCCAUCCUCAUAAGCUUUAAGGCAUUCUCCUGUGUUCCAAUCUGUCAACCCUAUCUCGUAAUGCAUCUACUUCAUUGCGAGGUUGUGGAAGUCCAUGAAAAUAUUAUUCUCAAAAUUUACCGACUGCACAUAAUUUGGACUUCGUAAUGGAGCACUUUGUGUUGGUGCCAAUGAUGCUUAAAGCUCCAAAUUCUCAACACGCAGAUCAUGAAUUUGGUUCCUCAUACUCUCCAUCAUAUUCGCCAUAUUUAACUUCUCGUUUACAAUAGCAACUUUCACGUGAAACCAUUCAAAGUAACCACAACCGGUGCCAUCCUAUAGCAUGUAUGGAUUUCACGAGUGUUAGUUACUACAAGAAGGAGGCCCUAAAAUGGUAGGUAUGAACAAUGUGUUCACCUUUAAAUCGUAGUUUGCACAACCAAAAAUCUUUCAAUUCGGGUUUUGCGCUGAGUGUGAGAUACGACGGGAAGACUAUACCCCACAAUUUCACAAAACAUGAGCAUCCUCGUAACCAAACUCAUCACAUGAUUUCAUUGAUUGUUUCAUUAUGGAAAUGAUGUUCUCAACUGUUGCAUAAACGUUUAAGUAAAAUCAAAUCCAAAUACAGAGAAUCUAAUCGAUGUCAUCAAACUAAUGAAUCCAUAUAAACAAGCUACUCGAUUUGGGCAAGCAAACUACUCCAUCUAAACAAGCUAAUGGAUUUUAACAAACAAACUAAUCAAUACAACAAGCUAAUGAAUUUUAUCAAAAAACUGUAAUCAUCAAACAAGACAAUAAAAAACAAGACAGUUAAGCUUUCCCAUAGAGGAAACCUCUAUCCACAAUACCUUCAUGAUUCCAACGUCUUGGAUCAAACAUCCCCUUCUGAUUUUGGAGUUUAAGGUGAGUUAGCAGUUUCAGAAGAUCAAUUGAUUGUUUGCGGGAAAAAAAGAAAAUGGCAUUGGGGGAGGACAGGUGCGUGGAUAAGAAAAGGAGGAGAAUAGAAAUGGUGGUAUUUCAAUAUUUUCAGUUCAUGGAAAGUUAUAGGUCAAAUCCGGUAUGUUAAAUUGGGUUUAUCAUAUGGAAAAAUGGCCUUUUCUACAGUUAAUUGGACUCUCACAGUUAUUUGGACUCCGAUGAAAAAUAAUUUCCCCCCAUAAAUAAACUCAAUUAAUAGGAAACCGCAGUCAUAUACUUCAAUUGAAUUAAUCAAUUCCUUAAAAAAAUGGAUGGCACUUAACUGAUAAUCCAAAUAUUUGCAAACACAAAACAAAAGUGACUGGAAGGUGCAAUAGUAAUUUUAACGUGUCCAUAUAUUAAUUUGGCAGUCCAAAAUACCAAAAACGAAAACUAUAAAAGUUCAAUAUCCGGGAAGUUAUAGAAAAUAAUACAUGUGACAAAAAAGAAGUUUGAUAAAAGUAGGAGGAGAAUAGAAAUGGUGGUAUUUCAAUAUUUUCAGUUCAUGGAAAGUUAUAGGUCAAAUCCGGUAUGUUAAAUUGGGUUUAUCAUAUGGAAAAAUGGCCUUUUCUACAGUUAAUUGGACUCUCACAGUUAUUUGGACUCCGAUGAAAAAUAAUUUCCCCCCAUAAAUAAACUCAAUUAAUAGGAAACCGCAGUCAUAUACUUCAAUUGAAUUAAUCAAUUCCUUAAAAAAAUGGAUGGCACUUAACUGAUAAUCCAAAUAUUUGCAAACACAAAACAAAAGUGACUGGAAGGUGCAAUAGUAAUUUUAACGUGUCCAUAUAUUAAUUUGGCAGUCCAAAAUACCAAAAACGAAAAAUACAAAAGUUCAGUUCACGGAAAGUUAUAGUAAAUAAUACAUGUGACCAAAAGAGAAAUUUGAUAAAAGUUUUUUUUUAAAACGGAAAUUAAAAAACGGUAGAGAUUAAAAUCCACCAAUGGGCGGCCCAGAUUAAAUUCUCUAAAUGAGAGUAUCGGUAUUCCGAGAAUACUGAAGAGUUUUUCUUGAAAUAAUAAGUUUGAGUUUGUGUGUUUUGAGAUAAAGGCUAGUAAUCUAUACUCAUUUGAUUCGUUUAAGUGCGUGUUGAUUCAUACUUGGAGGAUCAUUGGUUCGUUUGAGUGUGUGUCGAUUUGUACUUGGAGGUCUAUUAGUCAUAUAAGCGAGAUAGUCACUCUCUAUCAUGGCCGACAUCUAUCUUGCUUCUUUCUAUUAUCGAAGAUUUCGAGUUCAAUUGUUUCGUGCCAAUAUUGUUCUUGGGUUUCAUCGUAAUUGUUGGUAUGGUUAACAACUUAACAUAACCUCUGUCACGUGAUUAUGUACUGCAUUUCCUCGACCUCCAUCCAGGUGCUUUGGAAUGGUUCUUGCUCAGAAAACUUCAAACCUAUUGAUGACGUUUGAUUUAUCAUGUUCAUCGCUCUCAUUUAAGCAACAUUGCAUGCAUUAUUGUAUAACUUUGGGUAUAACUUUAAGGUGUUUCUUGCAUUUUAAACUUCUAUCUCGAUUUAAUGUCUCAACCCCGCUUGGGGUCCAUUUGAUGUCGGUUUUGAGUGUUUUCUAUAAUUUUUAGGUACAAGACGACAUCAAGGCAUUAAGUUGAGUGAUUCAACGUCCUUGGAUGAGAUAGGAUGAAUCGGAGGAUAAAAAAAUACAAAGUGUUAAAAAUGUGCAAAAGUGCGCUAUUAGUCUUCUAAGGUGCAAAAGUGCGCUAUUACUCAACCUACGGCUCACAUUAGAACAACAGGAGACAAUCCCCAGACCACUAAACAUGUAAUUGUAGCCAUAAGAUCUACAAUUGUGUGGUGCUCAUUAACACAUCCUUAGGCGCGCUUUAGCACAUCCGUCAAUGAUUUCGUUUUGUCUCCUUUUUAGACCAACCCUCCUUCAAUCAGAACGAGACAACCUGUAAACGAAAUUGAGAGUAUUUUUCAGAGACUUUCAAGCAACAAGAAAAUGAUGACUUCAAUGAGCUCAGAUCGUUCAUAGCAUAAUCAAGAUUGGAAGAUCUCAGUUUUAGAGUUCUUCACCGAAAUUAGGUUUUCAGAAUUCUUUUUGUAAACCUAGUUUCAAUCGUUUUCUUAUAUGAAUGAAGCGACAUGAAGAUCAACCAUUGGGACAAAAUCCUGAAGGUUUCAAAAGGAUGAGCAAAUCCAAGAAAAAAAUGAUGGUUUUCAUACCUAGACCGACCACUCACGUAAAU
RNAcentral lists this long non-coding RNA (3686 nucleotides) under Linum usitatissimum (flax). RNAcentral's name for it is "long non-coding RNA (LUSI_LNC003961)". Lineage: Eukaryota; Viridiplantae; Streptophyta; Magnoliopsida; Malpighiales; Linaceae. The record is from RNAcentral.